GCAUCACUAAAGUGCGCAAGGGAGCAGGGAGAUGCCCCACAUUGGCUCCAAAAGGUAGAGAGCAAUAAAGAAAAGUAUGUGUGUGCAAGAAUGUGUAAGUGUGCCAGUGUGUGUCUGUCAGUGUGUCAGUGUGUAUGUCUGUCAGUGAGUAUGUGUGUGUCUGUCAGUGUGUGUCUGUCAGCAAGUAUGUGUGUGUCUGUCAGUGAGUAUGUGUGUGUGUGUGUCUGUAUGUGUGUGUCUGUCUGUCAGUGAGUAUGUGUGUGUGUCUGUCUGUGAGUAUGUGUGUGUGUGUCUGUCAGUGUGUGUGUGCCUGUAUGUGUGUGUGUGUCUGUCUGUCUGUCAGUGAGUAUGUGUGUGUCUGUCUGUCUGUGUGUGUCUGUG
This is a non-coding RNA of Pelobates cultripes (western spadefoot toad), 381 nucleotides long. The record is from the annotation of a GenBank genome assembly. NCBI's taxonomy places the organism in Eukaryota, Metazoa, Chordata, Amphibia, Anura, Pelobatidae.